GGGCGGCUUUCCGAUUAUUGGGCGUAAGAGCUCGUAGGCGGUUUGUCGCGUCUGCCGUGAAAGUCCGGGGCUCAACUCCGGAUCUGCGGUGGGUACGGGCAGACUAGAGUGAUGUAGGGGAGACUGGAAUUCCUGGUGUAGCGGUGAAAUGCGCAGAUAUCAGGAGGAACACCGAUGGCGAAGGCAGGUCUCUGGGCAUUAACUGACGCUGAGGAGCGAAAGCAUGGGGAGCGAACAGGAUUAGAUACCCUGGUAGUCCAUGCCGUAAACGUUGGGCACUAGGUGUGGGGGACAUUCCACGUUUUCCGCGCCGUAGCUAACGCAUUAAGUGCCCCGCCUGGGGAGUACGGCCGCAAGGCUAAAACUCAAAGGAAUUGACGGGGGCCCGCACAAGCGGCGGAGCAUGCGGAUUAAUUCGAUACAACGCGAAGAACCUUACCAAGGCUUGACAUGGGCCGGACCGGGCUGGAAACAGUCCUUCCCCUCUGGGGCCGGUUCACAGGUGGUGCAUGGUUGUCGUCAGCUCGUGUCGUGAGAUGUUGGGUUAAGUCCCGCAACGAGCGCAACCCUCGUUCCAUGUUGCCAGCGCGUUAUGGCGGGGACUCAUGGGAGACUGCCGGGGUCAACUCGGAGGAAGGUGGGGACGACGUCAAAUCAUCAUGCCCCUUAUGUCUUGGGCUUCACGCAUGCUACAAUGGCCGGUACAAAGGGUUGCGAUACUGUGAGGUGGAGCUAAUCCCAAAAAGCCGGUCUCAGUUCGGAUUGGGGUCUGCAACUCGACCCCAUGAAGUCGGAGUCGCUAGUAAUCGCAGAUCAGCAACGCUGCGGUGAAUACGUUCCCGGGCCUUGUACACACCGCCCGUCAAGUCACGAAAGUUGGUAACACCCGAAGCCGGUGGCCUAACCCCUUGUGGGAGGGAGCUGUCGAAGGUGGGACUGGCGAUUGGGACUAAGUCGUAACAAGUAAC
Molecule: ribosomal RNA, 968 nt
Filed under: uncultured bacterium
Lineage: Bacteria
Description: bacterial SSU rRNA
Rfam family: Bacterial small subunit ribosomal RNA
Source: RNAcentral